AAAAUAAAAACUUUAUUUUUUUUUUUUCCAAAUAUGUAAAGAUACUUUUAUAAAAAAAUAUUUUUACAUCGAACCAAAUAAGCGAAAAAAUAAUUUUCAUACCAAAAACAAAUUUUCAGUUCGUUUUACGCCGAGUCAAACCCAUCCCUAGGCAGUAAUAAUUUAUUAGGCCUAAACCAUUGUCCGAAAAUAUCUAUAAGCUUGGUUAUUAUUAUUAAAAUGUGUGAUCUCUUUAUAUUUUCAAUUAGAAUCAUCUUUUCAUCCGAUCGAUGUGAAAUUAUUGA
Molecule: long non-coding RNA, 284 nt
Filed under: Ananas comosus (pineapple)
Lineage: Eukaryota; Viridiplantae; Streptophyta; Magnoliopsida; Poales; Bromeliaceae
Description: long non-coding RNA (ACOM_LNC013018)
Source: RNAcentral